AGUUUUAUAGUCAAAAAUGACACUAAAUUGCAAGUUUAGAGGUAGUGAAAACUUAAGGCUU
Molecule: transfer RNA, 61 nt
Filed under: Staphylinidae sp. BMNH 1274206
Lineage: Eukaryota; Metazoa; Arthropoda; Insecta; Coleoptera; Staphylinidae
Description: tRNA-Cys
Source: RNAcentral